AACAUCGCGCACCUGCGGGAACCUGCGGAAGGAUCAUUACAGAGUUGCAAAACUCCCUAAACCAUUGUGAACGUUACCUAAACCGUUGCUUCGGCGGGCGGCCCGGGUCCUUCCCGGCGCCCCUCGGCCCUCGCGGGCGCCCGCCGGAGGUAAACCAAACUAUUGCAUUGUAUGGCCUCUCUGAGUCUUCUGCACUGAAUAAGUCAAAACUUUCAACAACGGAUCUCAGAUCGGAAGAGC
This 240-nucleotide unclassified non-coding RNA is filed under the name soil metagenome. RNAcentral's name for it is "partial contains 5.8S ribosomal RNA, internal transcribed spacer 2, and large subunit ribosomal RNA". The record is from RNAcentral.